UCCGGUUUGGCACCUGUGCAGGAUCUCCGAAGAGGGGCUCUCGUUUCUGAGAGCUUGCUCGCGCAUGUCAAGCCUAGGUAAGGUUCUUCGCGUUGCGUCGAAUUAAACCACAUGCUCCACCGCUUGUGCGGGCCCCCGUCAAUUCCUUUGAGUUUCAACCUUGCGGUCGUACUCCCCAGGCGGGGUACUUCCUGCGUUAGCGCCGGCACCCAGAGGGUCGCUCCCCCAGGCACCUAGUACCCAUCGUUUACGGCGUGGACUAC
This 263-nucleotide unclassified non-coding RNA is filed under the name uncultured Gemmatimonadaceae bacterium. RNAcentral's name for it is "contains 16S-23S intergenic spacer region". Lineage: Bacteria; Pseudomonadati; Gemmatimonadota; Gemmatimonadia; Gemmatimonadales; Gemmatimonadaceae. The record is from RNAcentral.